RNAcentral lists this long non-coding RNA (428 nucleotides) under Mus pahari (shrew mouse). RNAcentral's name for it is "predicted gene 28448 (MGP_PahariEiJ_G0005272.1)". Lineage: Eukaryota; Metazoa; Chordata; Mammalia; Rodentia; Muridae. The record is from RNAcentral.
UGAAGACCUUGUAUGGAGGAAAAUGAGAUCCUGAGUGAAGUCUACAAUGUCAUUGACUCUAAAGAAGGACUCAGAGACCCAUUGGUGUUUAAUGACCCUUACUGGCCCAUGCAAUGGGUACUUGUAUGAUCUUCAAAAAUAGAUGGUUCUUUGGCAAUGUUAAGAAAUAUUAUUUUUGUCAAAUUUUAAUGCAGUAGACAGACACUUUUAUGCACUGGCUGCUUUUAUCUAUUGAUACUGGAGAGAGAGAAGUUAGCAAAGCUUGAUGGAGUAUUAUUGUUAGCUUAUUAAUGAGAAAUAAUAUUUUUUAAUUUGAUUACAACCUUAGGGCUUAGUUUAAUUGAGAAAAGGUAUCAGCUAAAAAUAAAAAAUAAAUAAAAUGUUUAAUUGGUUCAUGAAAAUAGCCUCAUUACACAAAAAUGCUGUUG